RNAcentral lists this long non-coding RNA (392 nucleotides) under Daucus carota (carrot). RNAcentral's name for it is "long non-coding RNA (DCAR_LNC003646)". Lineage: Eukaryota; Viridiplantae; Streptophyta; Magnoliopsida; Apiales; Apiaceae. The record is from RNAcentral.
GUCUUUAGAAUGACUAAAAUAAUUAAGUGCUCUGCUCAUAAUUAUUAGCUCUGCCAGAAAAAUCAUCUGUGGUGUAAAUUUUUGUUGGUCCUGUAGCUUGCUGAAAACAAAAUCUUAUCUGCUGCAGGUAUUUGUAUAGGCUACUUAGGUGUGCAUUUCAUUAUCUCUACCAUCUGUUGCCAUAUUUGACUGACUGCCUGGCUUGACCUAGUUGAAUAUUAUAUGCCAUAUGUUUAUAAUCUGCUUCGAAUAUCUAUUUGAUCUCUCUAAAUUCUAUUCCUGAAAUAUGAAAAUAGUUGAAAAGAUGAUUGCUUAUAUAUUUUGAUCACAAAUGAUUGUCCAUGUGAUAUAAUGUUUGGGUUGUUUACAUGAGACUUCCUUGAUUAGUUAAA